UUUUAACGAGAGUUUGAUCCUGGCUCAGAAUCAACGCUGGCGGCGUGCCUCAGACAUGCAAGUCGAACGAUUAAACUUUCCUUCGGGAAAGAUAUAAAGUGGCGCACGGGUGAGUAACACGUAAGUAAUCUACCUUCGGAUGGGGAAUAACAUCGGGAAACCGAUGCUAAUACCGCAUAAUGCAGCGGCAUCAUAAGAUGACAGUUGUUAAAGUAUUUAUACGUCUGGAGAGGAGCUUGCGGCAGAUUAGCUAGUUGGU
RNAcentral lists this ribosomal RNA (259 nucleotides) under Acidobacteriota bacterium. RNAcentral describes it as "Acidobacteria bacterium (soil metagenome) partial 16S ribosomal RNA". It matches the Rfam family "Bacterial small subunit ribosomal RNA", at positions 1 to 253 of the family's 1533-position model. The record is from RNAcentral. Lineage: Bacteria; Pseudomonadati; Acidobacteriota.